UACGUAGAGGGCAAGCGUUGUUCGGAAUGACUGGGCGUAAAGGGUGCGUAGGCGGUGUAGCAAGUUAGAAGUGAAAUACCUAGAGCUUAACUCAGGUGCUGCUUCUAAAACUGCUAUACUUGAGUGCAGUAGAGGAAAGUGGAAUUCCUAGUGUAGCGGUGGAAUGCGUAGAUAUUAGGAGGAACAUCAGUGGCGAAGGCGACUUUCUGGACUGUAACUGACGCUGAGGCACGAAAGUGUGGGGAGCAAACAGG
Molecule: ribosomal RNA, 254 nt
Filed under: uncultured bacterium
Lineage: Bacteria
Description: partial 16S ribosomal RNA
Rfam family: Bacterial small subunit ribosomal RNA
Source: RNAcentral